CUGCGCUCGGAACUCGCCGAGCCUCGCAACCUGCGGUCUGAAAGCUGUCCGUCCAGCGCAUGACCAGUAAAAUCUGAACCGGCCGUUCAGGUUCCCUGCGCCUCCGAAGGGGUGAACGGUGAGGUGCAUCGUGAGGAGUAGGUCUGGAGAGGGAAAGGAUCAGAGCAGAGAGAGCAGCACGCUCACGCCAAGUGAAACACUGACUGACCGCCAGGAAGAAGUGUCCAGACAAGA
RNAcentral lists this long non-coding RNA (234 nucleotides) under Ursus maritimus (polar bear). RNAcentral describes it as "lncRNA (ENSUMAG00000017698.1)". Lineage: Eukaryota; Metazoa; Chordata; Mammalia; Carnivora; Ursidae. The record is from RNAcentral.